This is a long non-coding RNA of Anopheles stephensi (Asian malaria mosquito), 800 nucleotides long. RefSeq lists it as uncharacterized. NCBI's taxonomy places the organism in Eukaryota, Metazoa, Arthropoda, Insecta, Diptera, Culicidae. The transcript has 2 exons. The record is from RefSeq and is a predicted model, not a curated record.
AAACAUCCAAUAACAGAAGCAACCAAGCAACAUGGAAAAGUAUGUAUUUUUAAAAUACAUGUAACAAAGGAUUCGAUGUAUAAUAUAUUUAUCUCUUUGUUCGUGUUUUAACGAUGUGGCGAAUCAUUUAGCACACCACGCAAGAUCGUGGUGCUCAAUAUGAGAGACGGAAAAUAUGUUUUAUCCGAGAAGCCGCAGCCUACAGCUUCCUCAUCACAACCAACACUACAUCCAGAUUUUAUAAAACAACUACCAACGGCAAAAAAUAUAUCCAAGAACAUCCAACCUGCAACAAACAUCGUUCACCGCAAUGUUUCCGCAUCCAUUUCGGAUUCCAUUUUUUCCGCAUCCAACAAACCCAACAUUUCCAAACCCAUAAGCAGCAAUAGUCCCAUAAAUCUAGAGACAACAAUAUCCUCUAUAGACGCAGGAUUGCGCGAUCUUUUAGUUUCAAUUGGACAGAAAAUGGAUGACAUGACAAAAAAAAUUACAAAUUUGGACCAGAAACUUAAUGAAAUAGAAACUAACCACGCCAACAGGGUUCGAGUUGUUGAGAAAAAUCAAGCAAUUAUUAAAACUAAGCUGGACUUGAUCUUAGAUAAAAUCUCUCCUCGUCCAGGAUUGGUAACAAAUAGUUCAUUCAACUGGGAACCGAUCGCAUCCAAAGAAAUGUUGGAUGCAGUGGAUCAGCAGCUUAAUGAUCAACAGUACAAAAAAGAAUUUGAAGAAUAUCUGGAAUGCCAGCUGCCAACAGAUAGCUCGGAAGAAAGGCUUCAUUCAGCGAUGGACAUCAUAUUUGC